This 392-nucleotide long non-coding RNA is filed under the name Vigna radiata. Its description in RNAcentral is "long non-coding RNA (VRAD_LNC004755)". Lineage: Eukaryota; Viridiplantae; Streptophyta; Magnoliopsida; Fabales; Fabaceae. The record is from RNAcentral.
GUGCAUGGGGGAAACUAAAAGGCAAUUGAAAAAGCACUGAGCUCAAAUGUUGUGAAAGAAAAAUACAUGAGAAAAAGAAAAGAAAAGAAGAAAAGCAUGAAGAUGGGCUCAAUGCAAAAGAAAAGGGAAAAAGUUGGGAAUAAGUGAGAUUGGUGAGGAUGAGAGUUGUGCUUAAAUGCUGAAUACUAUGAUAGCUCUCCUAACUCAAGAAUUUUGCAUUCCAGAAAAAGCAAUUCUUCUUGUUAGCCCAGCCUCAUUACAAGCCUUGGAAAAGUCCUUUUGAUGGCAUUUGCAUGUAAGGAUUUUGCUUGUCUUAGAUGAAUGGCAAUUUUAUUUCAUGUGACUUGUGAAUGAUAGAGUGUUGGAGUGUUACCUCAAACACUUGAGUGAUU